This is a non-coding RNA of Misgurnus anguillicaudatus (oriental weatherfish), 1557 nucleotides long. Lineage: Eukaryota; Metazoa; Chordata; Actinopteri; Cypriniformes; Cobitidae. The record is from RefSeq and is a predicted model, not a curated record.
UGUCUGUCUAUCUAUCUAUCUGUCUGUCUGUCUGUCUGUCUAUCUUUAUGUCUGUCUGUCUGUCUGUCUAUCUAUCCAUCUGUCCAUCUAUCUAUCUAUCUAUCUAUCUAUCUAUCUAUCUAUCUAUCUAUCUAUCUAUCUAUCUAUCUAUCUGUCUGUCUGUCUGUCUGUCUGUCUGUCUGUCUGUCUGUCUGUCUGUCUAUCUUUAUGUCUGUCUGUCUGUCUGUCUGUCUAUCUUUAUGUCUGUCUGUCUGUCCAUCUAUCUAUCUGUCUGUCUGUCUGUCUAUCUAUCCAUCUGUCCAUCUCUCUAUCUGUCUGUCUUUCUUUCUGUCUGUCUGUCUUUCUGUCUGUCUGUCUGUCUGUCUGUUUGUCUAAACCAGUAUCCAAAGCAGUCAAAGACCGCGAUGUGAGGACAUCAACAGGAAAUAAAAAGAACACAAGAAGUAAAGCGCUCUCAAUGUGAAUCAAACAACUGCUCGACUGAGGAGAUGAAGAGAAAAGUGCAGCUGCACAAUCCUAAAAUUUUGAAGGUCGUCUGUCGGCUACACAACUCGGAGGCAAAUUGUAGGCAGUAUCACCAGGAGCAAAGAUUAAGUUCAACACAUCAUAAGAAGGUCACCUCAGUUUUAGUGGGAGCACUGGCUACAAACUUGGAAUUGAAGGCUUUGAUAAAAAUUACUUUGUGGCCUGCAAGACAUUACCAGAGCUAACCGGUGUGGCCGCAGCACAGAGUGACCAGAGGAGGAAGAGGCUCUUGGGUCAAACCCGGUGUACUGGCUGUGGACAAAGUGUGUUUCUGAAGGGGGAUCACCGCUAACAUGAUGUCAGAUGAUGAAGACAAUGCUGUUGAAUGCCUUCAACGUGAUGCCCAGCUGAUGCAUGACCAACGACCACCGGCAGAACCCGCUUAACCUCCGCCUAAUCUCCUUAAUCGUUUCAAUGUAUAUAUAAAUAUAUCUCCCAAGGGUUUUUCCCUCCUAGGACUUUUUUUUUACUUCCCCGGCUAAGCCUGGGUUUUUUUUUCUCCUAGGGGGUUUUUCAACCCGGGGAGGCAGCCUUCUUGGGCUUAACUUAGCACCCUCUUCUUUACGUUACAUUAGCAAUACGCACGCUUAUAAUGUUGAUUCAUAGCCGCAGCAAAUUUAGCUGCUUGUGCUAUCGUGUAUUAUGUUGUGCUAUCUGUCGUUUUUCUGUGCUUUCCAUUGCUUCUGUUAAUGUAAAGCUGCUUUGAAACAAUUAACUAUUGUGAAAAGCGCUAUUUAAAUAAAAUUGAAUUGAAUUGAACUGUUGAUGAAGUGUCGGGUGGAUUGUGAGACCUUCAUCGUUCUUCAGCCAGGCGCUCCGCAAUCUGUGUGCUAAGCUGCAGCUGCGACUGUGUGUGUGUUCGAGUUAUGCAGCGUUGAAUUGCUGUCUAACAGAAUGCCACCGCUUACCUACAACCCCGAGACAGCAAAAUAAACACAUUUGAUGCCAAAUGUGAUCCCAAGAACAUAAUGUCUGGCUAUUUUUAACUUUUUAUGUGUUUAUUUUAUUAAUAAAACUCUUACAAACCUCGCA